This is a long non-coding RNA of Schistocerca gregaria, 1334 nucleotides long. RefSeq lists it as uncharacterized. NCBI's taxonomy places the organism in Eukaryota, Metazoa, Arthropoda, Insecta, Orthoptera, Acrididae. The transcript is spliced from 3 exons. The record is from RefSeq and is a predicted model, not a curated record.
GUUUGGACCACUGAAGACGUCCAGCUGUUUGUUUUGCUGGCAACAAUUGAGGCGUUGAGAUGCCGGCGUAAAUGUUUUGAGAAGUUCUCAUUUGCUGAGAAGGAACUAUUAUUGACAGAAUUCAACAAUACGCCCAACAAAGAUGGACAGGAUGGGUACUUGGAGUGCUCACAUUCUUCCGUUAUUUCCGAAAGCAAGGAGACCACGCCCAAAUUCCAUUACCAAUCGUGGAAGGAGAGCAAAUUAUUAUUAGAAGGUCUACUAGGGAACCCAUGAACUUUCUGUACAACUGUGCCUCAUUCGACAUUUUCGCCACAAGGAAAGCUGCGUGAGCCAUAUCGUAAAAAUGGCUUCCACCCGGAAGAAAGCCCAAUGUGUUGUGUGGCUUCCAGAAACAAAAUCACUAUGCAGCGGAAGUUUGUGUCCUUAUAUGGAAAGAAAGAAUAUGAUGUCAAGUUAAUCAGAAAAUGGGAGGAAACUUUUUUAGCUACGGAGAGGAUUAAAAAAAAUGAUAAGGAGCGGCAGACCAUCCGUUUUGGAGAAGAAAGUGCAGACAGUUCAAACCACAUUCACGAGGGUGCCAAAGAAAUCAAGUUCAAUGCAUAAAGUGGUUCGCAAACAUCUUAAAUUGUAUACGUACAAGGUCCAGAUUGUUCAGACAUAACAACCAGAUGAUCGCCGAAAACGUGAACAAUUUGCAACCGACAUGUUGAAGAGUUAGGAUGAAGUUAAUGAUUUCUUGAAACGGGUCUGUUUUUCCAAUGAGGUUACGUUUCAUAUUUGUGACCCAAUAGACCGCCAUAAUGUCCGGAUUUGUGGAUCAGAAAAUCCUCAUGUCGUAUGAGAACACAUUUCGAACAGUUCAAAGAUCAAUACGUGGUGUGGCUUAAUGUGUGAUCGAAUGACUGGUCGAUAUGUCUUCCUUUAAAGCAAUGUAAGUGGAUAUGUUUACCUAGACAUGUUGGUGAAUUAUGUCGUUCCCCAACUACAGGAUAUGCAAGACACCAUCAUAUUUCAGCAAUUCCCCGACAGGUGGAUUGGCAGAGACAGUUCAGUUCGAUGGUCCCUGAGAUAAACUAAUAUUACCCUCUUAGAUUUUUUUCUUUGGGAGUAGGUGAAAGACACUGUGUAGCAAACAGCGGUUCCUGACAUUGUGACAUCGCAACAACGCGUCAGGAAUGCUACGGGGCAACAAGAUCAGACAUGUUGCAGAAUAUGUGGCAAGAUAUUGAAUACCGACUCGAUAUUUUACCAGACGUGCAAAUGUUGAAGUGAUUUAAAUGUUGAAGUGUAUUACCUGUAUUAAAUGUUUAUGUAAAAGUUCAAAACAUAAU